UUUUAUGGAGAGUUUGAUCCUGGCUCAGGAUGAACGCUGGCGGCGUGCCUAAUACAUGCAAGUCGAGCGAACAGACGAGGAGCUUGCUCCUCUGACGUUAGCGGCGGACGGGUGAGUAACACGUGGAUAACCUACCUAUACGACUGGGAUAACUUCGGGAAACCGGAGCUAAUACCGGAUAAUAUAUUGAACCGCAUGGUUCAAUAGUGAAAGACGGUUUUGCUGUCACUUAUAGAUGGAUCCGCGCCGCAUUAGCUAGUUGGUAAGGUAACGGCUUACCAAGGCAACGAUGCGUAGCCGACCUGAGAGGGUGAUCGGCCACACUGGAACUGAGACACGGUCCAGACUCCUACGGGAGGCAGCAGUAGGGAAUCUUCCGCAAUGGGCGAAAGCCUGACGGAGCAACGCCGCGUGAGUGAUGAAGGUCUUCGGAUCGUAAAACUCUGUUAUUAGGGAAGAACAAAUGUGUAAGUAACUAUGCACGUCUUGACGGUACCUAAUCAGAAAGCCACGGCUAACUACGUGCCAGCAGCCGCGGUAAUACGUAGGUGGCAAGCGUUAUCCGGAAUUAUUGGGCGUAAAGCGCGCGUAGGCGGUUUUUUAAGUCUGAUGUGAAAGCCCACGGCUCAACCGUGGAGGGUCAUUGGAAACUGGA
Molecule: ribosomal RNA, 655 nt
Filed under: Staphylococcus epidermidis NIHLM053
Lineage: Bacteria; Bacillati; Bacillota; Bacilli; Caryophanales; Staphylococcaceae
Description: bacterial SSU rRNA
Rfam family: Bacterial small subunit ribosomal RNA
Source: RNAcentral